RNAcentral lists this ribosomal RNA (390 nucleotides) under fungal sp. RNAcentral describes it as "SSU rRNA". It matches the Rfam family "Eukaryotic small subunit ribosomal RNA", at positions 828 to 1216 of the family's 1831-position model. The record is from RNAcentral. Lineage: Eukaryota; Fungi.
CCUCGGUUCUAUUUUGUUGGUUUCUAGGACCGACGUAAUGAUUAAUAGGAAUAGUUGGGGGCAUUAGUAUUUAGUAGCUAGAGGUGAAAUUCUUGGAUUUACGAAAGACUAACUUCUGCGAAAGCAUUUGUCAAGGAUGUUUUCAUUAAUCAAGAACGAAAGUUAGGGGAUCGAAGACGAUCAGAUACCGUCGUAGUCUUAACCAUAAACUAUGCCGACUAGGGAUCAGACUGUCGUUUGUUUACUGACGCGUUUGGCACCUUGAGAGAAAUCAAAGUUUUUGGGUUCCGGGGGGAGUAUGGUCGCAAGGCUGAAACUUAAAGGAAUUGACGGAAGGGCACCACCAGGAGUGGAGCCUGCGGCUUAAUUUGACUCAACACGGGGAAACUC